CCUACGGGAGGCAGCAGUAAGGAAUAUUGGUCAAUGGAGGCAACUCUGAACCAGCCAUGCCGCGUGCAGGAAGACAGCCCUAUGGGUCGUAAACUGCUUUUAUACGGGAAUAAACUUUGAUUCGUGAAUCAAGCUGAAUGUACCGUAAGAAUAAGGAUCGGCUAACUCCGUGCCAGCAGCCGCGGUAAUACGGAGGAUCCAAGCGUUAUCCGGAUUUAUUGGGUUUAAAGGGAGCGUAGGCGGCCUAUUAAGUCAGGGGUGAAAGACGGUGGCUCAACCAUCGCAGUGCCUUUGAUACUGAUGGGCUUGAAUAUAGUUGAGGUAGGCGGAAUGUGACAAGUAGCGGUGAAAUGCAUAGAUAUGUCACAGAACACCGAUUGCGAAGGCAGCUUACUAAGCUAUGAUUGACGCUGAGGCUCGAAAGCGUGGGGAUCAAACAGGAUUAGAUACCCUGGUAGUCCACGCCCUAAACGAUGAUAACUCGAUGUUGGCGAUAUACUAGUCGAGCGUCCGAACGACGAAACGGACGGUUAACGUUUAACGUUAACCGUACCGUCGGGGUUAGGGUUACGGUCCCGGCCGAACGGGUAGGAACCGUUACGAACGGAAGUUAGGUUACGGCGGUUGGAGACGUUCGCCGACGGACGACCGACGAGGGAGGAGG
RNAcentral lists this ribosomal RNA (664 nucleotides) under uncultured bacterium. Its description in RNAcentral is "bacterial SSU rRNA". The stretch from base 1 to 554 matches the Rfam family "Bacterial small subunit ribosomal RNA", at positions 338 to 873 of the family's 1533-position model. The record is from RNAcentral.